Molecule: ribosomal RNA, 1338 nt
Filed under: uncultured bacterium
Lineage: Bacteria
Description: 16S ribosomal RNA
Rfam family: Bacterial small subunit ribosomal RNA
Source: RNAcentral
GACGAACGCUGGCGGCGCGCCUAACACAUGCAAGUCGAACGGAGCUUAGAGAGCUUGCUUUUUAAGCUUAGUGGCGAACGGGUGAGUAACGCGUGAGUAACCUGCCCUAGAGUGGGGGACAACAGUUGGAAACGACUGCUAAUACCGCAUAAGCCCACGGUGCCGCAUGACACUGAGGGAAAAGGAUUUAUUCGCUUUAGGAUGGACUCGCGUCCAAUUAGCUAGUUGGUGAGGUAACGGCCCACCAAGGCGACGAUUGGUAGCCGGACUGAGAGGUUGAACGGCCACAUUGGGACUGAGACACGGCCCAGACUCCUACGGGAGGCAGCAGUGGGGGAUAUUGCACAAUGGGGGAAACCCUGAUGCAGCGACGCCGCGUGGAGGAAGAAGGUUUUCGGAUUGUAAACUCCUGUCGUUAGGGACGAUAAUGACGGUACCUAACAAGAAAGCACCGGCUAACUACGUGCCAGCAGCCGCGGUAAAACGUAGGGUGCAAGCGUUGUCCGGAAUUACUGGGUGUAAAGGGAGCGCAGGCGGGAAGACAAGUUGGAAGUGAAAACCAUGGGCUCAACCCAUGAAUUGCUUUCAAAACUGUUUUUCUUGAGUAGUGCAGAGGUAGAUGGAAUUCCCGGUGUAGCGGUGGAAUGCGUAGAUAUCGGGAGGAACACCAGUGGCGAAGGCGGUCUACUGGGCACCAACUGACGCUGAGGCUCGAAAGCAUGGGUAGCAAACAGGAGUAGAUACCCUGGUAGUCCAUGCCGUAAACGAUGAUUACUAGGUGUGGGGGAUGGACCCCCUCAGUGCCGCAGUUAACACAAUAAGUAAUCCACCUGGGGAGUACGACCGCAAGGUUGAAACUCAAAGGAAUUGACGGGGGCCCGCACAAGCAGUGGAGUAUGUGGUUUAAUUCGAAGCGACGCGAAGAACCUUACCAGGUCUUGACAUCCGAUGCAUAGCACAGAGAUGUGUGAAAUCCUUCGGGACAUCGAGACAGGUGGUGCAUGGUUGUCGUCAGCUCGUGUCGUGAGAUGUUGGGUUAAGUCCCGCAACGAGCGCAACCCUUAUUGCCAGUUACUACGUUAAGAGGACUCUGGCGAGACUGCCGUUGACAAAACGGAGGAAGGUGGGGAUGACGUCAAAUCAUCAUGCCCUUUAUGACCUGGGCUACACACGUACUACAAUGGCGUUAAACAAAGAGAAGCAAGACCGCGAGGUGGAGCAAAACUCAAAAACAACGUCUCAGUUCAGAUUGCAGGCUGCAACUCGCCUGCAUGAAGUCGGAAUUGCUAGUAAUCGCGGAUCAGCAUGCCGCGGUGAAUAAGUUCCCGGGCCUUGCAC